CAGUCGCCGCGGUAAUACGAAGGGUGCAAGCGUUAAUCGGAAUUACUGGGCGUAAAGCGUGCGUAGGCGGUUUGUUAAGUCUGCUGUGAAAUCCCCGGGCUCAACCUGGGAAUGGCAGUGGAUACUGGCAAGCUAGAGUGUGUCAGAGGAUGGUGGAAUUCCCGGUGUAGCGGUGAAAUGCGUAGAGAUCGGGAGGAACAUCAGUGGCGAAGGCGGCCAUCUGGGACAACACUGACGCUGAGGCACGAAAGCGUGGGGAGCAAACAGGAUAGAUACCCGCGUAGUCCCUGUCUCUUAUACA
Molecule: ribosomal RNA, 301 nt
Filed under: uncultured bacterium
Lineage: Bacteria
Description: partial 16S ribosomal RNA
Rfam family: Bacterial small subunit ribosomal RNA
Source: RNAcentral